RNAcentral lists this ribosomal RNA (831 nucleotides) under Microbacteriaceae bacterium 01xTSA12B_C04. RNAcentral's name for it is "bacterial SSU rRNA". It matches the Rfam family "Bacterial small subunit ribosomal RNA", at positions 60 to 898 of the family's 1533-position model. Lineage: Bacteria; Bacillati; Actinomycetota; Actinomycetes; Micrococcales; Microbacteriaceae. The record is from RNAcentral.
AGUCGAACGGUGAACUUGGGAGCUUGCUCCUGGGGGAUCAGUGGCGAACGGGUGAGUAACACGUGAGCAAUCUGCCCUUGACUCUGGGAUAAGCGUUGGAAACGACGUCUAAUACCGGAUACGAACUUCCCCGGCAUCGGGAGGAGUUGGAAAGAAUUUUGGUCAAGGAUGAGCUCGCGGCCUAUCAGCUUGUUGGUGAGGUAAUGGCUCACCAAGGCGACGACGGGUAGCCGGCCUGAGAGGGUGACCGGCCACACUGGGACUGAGACACGGCCCAGACUCCUACGGGAGGCAGCAGUGGGGAAUAUUGCACAAUGGGCGCAAGCCUGAUGCAGCAACGCCGCGUGAGGGACGACGGCCUUCGGGUUGUAAACCUCUUUUAGCAGGGAAGAAGCGAAAGUGACGGUACCUGCAGAAAAAGCACCGGCUAACUACGUGCCAGCAGCCGCGGUAAUACGUAGGGUGCAAGCGUUGUCCGGAAUUAUUGGGCGUAAAGAGCUCGUAGGCGGUUUGUCGCGUCUGCUGUGAAAUCCCGAGGCUCAACCUCGGGCCUGCAGUGGGUACGGGCAGACUAGAGUGCGGUAGGGGAGAUUGGAAUUCCUGGUGUAGCGGUGGAAUGCGCAGAUAUCAGGAGGAACACCGAUGGCGAAGGCAGAUCUCUGGGCCGUAACUGACGCUGAGGAGCGAAAGCGUGGGGAGCGAACAGGAUUAGAUACCCUGGUAGUCCACGCCGUAAACGUUGGGAACUAGAUGUGGGGACCAUUCCACGGUCUCCGUGUCGCAGCUAACGCAUUAAGUUCCCCGCCUGGGGAGUACGGCCGCAAGGCUAAA